AGCGAACGCUGGCGGCAGGCCUAACACAUGCAAGUCGAACGAACCUUUCGGGGUUAGUGGCGGACGGGUGAGUAACACGUGGGAACGUGCCUUUAGGUUCGGAAUAACUCAGGGAAACUUGUGCUAAUACCGAAUGUGCCCUUCGGGGGAAAGAUUUAUCGCCUUUAGAGCGGCCCGCGUCUGAUCAGCUAGUUGGUUGAGGUAAUGGCUCACCAAGGCGACGAUCAGUAGCUGGUCUGAGAGGAUGAUCAGCCACAUUGGGACUGAGACACGGCCCAAACUCCUACGGGAGGCAGCAGUGGGGAAUCUUGCGCAAUGGGCGAAAGCCUGACGCAGCCAUGCCGCGUGAAUGAUGAAGGUCUUAGGAUUGUAAAAUUCUUUCACCGGGGACGAUAAUGACGGUACCCGGAGAAGAAGCCCCGGCUAACUUCGUG
This 434-nucleotide ribosomal RNA is filed under the name uncultured bacterium. RNAcentral describes it as "partial 16S ribosomal RNA". It matches the Rfam family "Bacterial small subunit ribosomal RNA", at positions 29 to 507 of the family's 1533-position model. The record is from RNAcentral.